CAAUUUCAGAGAGCAGUGCUCAAGAGGACUGUCUGCCAUUGCAGUCCAGACCUGCUCUGUCUGCAUGUUCCUCAGCAAGUGAUAAGAUGAGAAAUUCCAAUCCUGAGAAGAUUGCAUGGGUCACCCCUAUGUCUCAUCAGUCAGAGCCUCUGAAGGAUCACAGCAACAACAGCAGUUCUGGGCAGAGUUCUUCGUCUGGAAAUACUGAUGACGAGCAUGCGCAUGUACCUAAAUUAAGAAGGACUAGAAGUAUUCUAGUAAAACACAUGCACAGAAAAGAAGAAAAGCUUGGGAAGUGAUUGAGAUCCAGGCCGUGGAAACACACCUGAAAAACUUUAUCAGUUCAUGCCGUGUCCCAGGGAAGCUACCUUGCGAACAGUGCAAAAGAGCUGAGCCUUCAGCGCUUAAAAACAGAGAUUGGCAGAGUGUCAAAUUCUAUGUUCACAAUUGCGUUGUGGCUUACAAGAGAGAUUUGAGCCACAAUUUGUAUUUUUUUUUUUUUGUUUAUUUCAUUUGAAAAACAU
Molecule: long non-coding RNA, 524 nt
Organism: Pygocentrus nattereri (red-bellied piranha)
Lineage: Eukaryota; Metazoa; Chordata; Actinopteri; Characiformes; Serrasalmidae
Exons: 4
Source: RefSeq, a predicted model, not a curated record